Molecule: long non-coding RNA, 624 nt
Organism: Camellia sinensis
Lineage: Eukaryota; Viridiplantae; Streptophyta; Magnoliopsida; Ericales; Theaceae
Source: RefSeq, a predicted model, not a curated record
CUUGGAACCUAUUAAAGAACCUGGGAUUUUGGAGGGACGCAAUGGUAUUAAAGAAACUUGCCUCCAGCAUGCAGCUAGGUAUCUUGCUAACCAGGAGUGGGUUAAAAGUGAUUCACUCAAGAUUGUAGAAAAUACUGCAGUUCCCAUCAUCAUGCUUCUUGUUGAAGUUCCUCAUGAUCUGAUUACCCCUGCUGUUUCCACCAUAUCUACACUGAAAGAAGAACCGACUGAGGUGAUUAGUGGAGACAAUCCUUUUCAAACCAAUAUGGCUAAUUUGGAAAGCUCUGCUUCACCAAAGUGUUCAAAUAUGAAUACUGAUGAUUACAAGGAUAUGAAAUCAAUUCGUCUUGACAUCAGUUUCUUGUCGCCAUCACACACAGGACUCCAAACUACUGAACUGGUUUGAUUAAAACUUUUCCCUCUUUCUAUUUUGCAAAGUCAAUUCUUGUUAGCUGACAUUCUUCUCAUGCAUAACGAAGGCUAUAUAAAUUAGGUUUUGCAGUGUUUUGACCUGGUUGCUGCCACUGUUUGCAAAAAUUAUAAUGAAACUGAAUAAUUUUGGAAGGAUACGAAUAUAAGAAUGGUUGAGAAUGUUCUAAUUUCAGUUUUCAUAUUUGGAAGGCA